AGAGUUUGAUCCUGGCUCAGAUUGAACGCUGGCGGCAUGCUUUACACAUGCAAGUCGAACGGCAGCACGGGGUGGUCACACCCUGGUGGCGAGUGGCGAACGGGUGAGUAAUAUAUCGGAACGUAUCCGGAAGUGGGGGAUAGCUCGGCGAAAGCCGGAUUAAUACCGCAUAUGCCCUGAGGGGGAAAGUGGGGGAUCGCAAGACCUCACGCUUUCGGAGCGGCCGAUAUCGGAUUAGCUAGUUGGUGGGGUAAAGGCUUACCAAGGCGACGAUCCGUAGCUGGUCUGAGAGGACGACCAGCCACACUGGAACUGAGACACGGUCCAGACUCCUACGGGAGGCAGCAGUGGGGAAUUUUGGACAAUGGGGGAAACCCUGAUCCAGCCAUGCCGCGUGAGUGAAGAAGGCCUUCGGGUUGUAAAGCUCUUUCGAGAGGAAAGAAACGGUCACGGUGAAUAUCCGUGACUAAUGACGGUACCUCAAGAAGAAGCACCGGCUAAUUACGUGCCAGCAGCCGCGGUAAUACGUAGGGUGCGAGCGUUAAUCGGAAUUACUGGGCGUAAAGCGUGCGCAGGCGGUUUUGUAAGACAGAUGUGAAAUCCCCGGGCUUAACCUGGGAACUGCAUUUGUGACUGCAAGGCUAGAGUGCGGCAGAGGGGGGUAGAAUUCCACGUGUAGCAGUGAAAUGCGUAGAUAUGUGGAGGAAUACCGAUGGCGAAGGCAGCCCCCUGGGUCGACACUGACGCUCAUGCACGAAAGCGUGGGGAGCAAACAGGAUUAGAUACCCUGGUAGUCCACGCCCUAAACGAUGUCAACUAGGUGUUGGGGAAGGAGACUUCUUUAGUACCGCAGCUAACGCGCUAAGUUGACCGCCUGGGGAGUACGGUCGCAAGACUAAAACUCAAAGGAAUUGACG
Molecule: ribosomal RNA, 917 nt
Filed under: uncultured bacterium
Lineage: Bacteria
Description: bacterial SSU rRNA
Rfam family: Bacterial small subunit ribosomal RNA
Source: RNAcentral